Molecule: non-coding RNA, 233 nt
Filed under: Clostridium sp.
Lineage: Bacteria; Bacillati; Bacillota; Clostridia; Eubacteriales; Clostridiaceae
Description: T-box sequence
Rfam family: T-box leader
About the family: Uncharged tRNA acts as the effector for transcription antitermination of genes in the T-box leader family. T-boxes are found upstream of many aminoacyl-tRNA synthetase genes and some amino acid biosynthetic genes usually in Gram-positive bacteria.
Source: RNAcentral
UGAAAUGCGAAGAAGAGAAGUAGUAACCAUAGAAUGGAAUGCAGAAAGCUGUUGGUUGAUGCGAAGCAGUGGAAGUGAUAUGGCGAACUCGUCUCGGAGCAGCCGGUUGAACUUUAGUAGAUCAGGACGGAUUCCCACCGUUAGAGGGGAAAGGUAUUGACAAGUUGUUGAUGUACCUGUGAGCGCAUGAUUUUCAUGAAUAAGAGUGGUAACGCGGAUGAUCCGUCUCUAUA